UUUGUACCUCCAAAAGAUAAGAAAUUUUUACAUCGAGCGAAUGCGAAUCUACGUAGGUACUUAGUUGUGGGAUUUUUCCUGCAGCAUUGUUAAUCGCUUAUCGCUUCGAACUUCGAAGCGAUUAGCAAAGACAGUUAGUUUGCCGGAUUUUUCGUGCUUAGUUCGUUUCUAUCUGCAUUAUUCGCUUGUUGCUGUACGUUUUUGAAGAAUAAAAUUCAGAAUUUUGAAUUAGUUGAUCGUGAAUUUGUCAAAUUGUGCGUCUGGUCGCGUCGUGUUAUUGUGUUGUUUUUUUACAAAUCGAUGUUCCUGAUCAUAAUUUUAUGCCUGAAAGACGAGUUUGCCGGUAUUUAUCCAUUGGUUUGAUGUGUGGUUCUCAUCUGGUUGUUCAGAUGCUGCUUGUUGAAUAUGGUGAGUACGAAUUUUACGCUGUAAAAGUACCUAUAAUAAAAUCAACACUCGUGCAUGAGAAUGAGUAAGUCAUUUUAUGAUCUACCUAUACCUUUGAACAAAUUUCCGGUCAAACGAUUGUAUCAUACUGCGUGCUAAUGUACAGUACCAUCCUUCAAGCAUACGUAAAUAGUUAUUCAAUAACAAUAAUAUCUUCAUUGAAAUUUGUUGAUAAAGUUCGAUUUUUAAAUUUUGAGAACGUUCAGCUCCUUGACAUGAUUUCCAAUCAGAUUUUUGCUUGAAUUUUGAACUGUAAUGGAAUGGAAUACUUACUGUAGGUACUUAUAAAAAAAAUACUUACUUUUUCAACAUGAUGAUCGCAAAUUCAACAGUACGUGGAAUUUUUGUGAUUUGGAAGUUUAAUUUCUACAAGUUUGAUUUCCAGGAACUUUUAUUCUCAAAAUAUUUCACUCGAAAAA
Planococcus citri (citrus mealybug) is the source of this 866-nucleotide long non-coding RNA. RefSeq lists it as uncharacterized. NCBI's taxonomy places the organism in Eukaryota, Metazoa, Arthropoda, Insecta, Hemiptera, Pseudococcidae. The record is from RefSeq and is a predicted model, not a curated record. The transcript is spliced from 2 exons.